GACGAACGCUGGCGGCGUGCCUAACACAUGCAAGUCGAACGGGGCUAGGAAAGCUUGCUUUCCGAAGCCUAGUGGCGGACGGGUGAGUAACGCGUGAGUAACCUGCCUUUCAGAGGGGAAUAACGUUCUGAAAAGAACGCUAAUACCGCAUAACGUACAGUUACCGCAUGGUAGCAGUACCAAAGGAGCAAUCCGCUGAAAGAUGGACUCGCGUCCGAUUAGCUAGUUGGUGGGGUAAAGGCCUACCAAGGCGACGAUCGGUAGCCGGACUGAGAGGUUGAACGGCCACAUUGGGACUGAGACACGGCCCAGACUCCUACGGGAGGCAGCAGUGGGGGAUAUUGCACAAUGGGGGAAACCCUGAUGCAGCAACGCCGCGUGUGGGAAGAAGGUUUUCGGAUUGUAAACCACUGUUCUUGGUGAAGAUAAUGACGGUAACCAAGGAGAAAGCUCCGGCUAACUACGUGCCAGCAGCCGCGGUAAUACGUAGGGAGCAAGCGUUGUCCGGAUUUACUGGGUGUAAAGGGUGCGUAGGCGGCUAGGCAAGUCAGACGUGAAAACCAUGGGCUCAACCUGUGGACUGCGUUUGAAACUGUUUAGCUUGAGUGAAGUAGAGGUAGGCGGAAUUCCCGGUG
Molecule: ribosomal RNA, 635 nt
Filed under: uncultured Lachnospiraceae bacterium
Lineage: Bacteria; Bacillati; Bacillota; Clostridia; Lachnospirales; Lachnospiraceae
Description: bacterial SSU rRNA
Rfam family: Bacterial small subunit ribosomal RNA
Source: RNAcentral